Molecule: ribosomal RNA, 502 nt
Filed under: uncultured bacterium
Lineage: Bacteria
Description: bacterial SSU rRNA
Rfam family: Bacterial small subunit ribosomal RNA
Source: RNAcentral
AGAGUUUGAUCCUGGCUCAGGACGAACGCUGGCGGCGUGCUUAACACAUGCAAGUCGAACGAUGAAGCCCUUCGGGGUGGAUUAGUGGCGAACGGGUGAGUAACACGUGGGCAAUCUGCCCUUCACUCUGGGACAAGCCCUGGAAACGGGGUCUAAUACCGGAUACAACCACUGACCGCAUGGUCGGGUGGUGGAAAGCUCCGGCGGUGAAGGAUGAGCCCGUGGCCUAUCAGCUUGUUGGUGAGGUAAUGGCUCACCAAGGCGACGACGGGUAGCCGGCCUGAGAGGGCGACCGGCCACACUGGGACUGAGACACGGCCCAGACUCCUACGGGAGGCAGCAGUGGGGAAUAUUGCACAAUGGGCGCAAGCCUGAUGCAGCGACGCCGCGUGGGGGAUGACGGCCUUCGGGUUGUAAACCCCUUUCAGCACAGACGAAGCGCAAGUGACGGUAUGUGCAGAAGAAGGACCGGCCAACUACGUGCCAGCCGCCGCGGUAAUUC